RNAcentral lists this long non-coding RNA (1796 nucleotides) under Heterocephalus glaber (naked mole-rat). RNAcentral describes it as "lncRNA (ENSHGLG00000036845.1)". The record is from RNAcentral. Lineage: Eukaryota; Metazoa; Chordata; Mammalia; Rodentia; Bathyergidae.
CCUGUGAGCCCUGACCCGCAGCCAGCGAUUGGUGUUGACCUUCACAGUGGAGCGCAGCACCACAGGCUGGGAGCCCAAGUCAUAGCUCAGCUGCAGGCACCCAUCCACAAUGGCCAGAGCCACAUAGUCAGUGCGCUCUGUGGCUUUGCCACUCCACAGCACCAGCCCCUGAGUGGCCUCAGUGCGCAAGCUCAGUUCAAAGUGGUUGCUCUGCAGCGCCUUCUCGCUGUGGGGGAAGGGCAGGGCAGGUCAGGCCUUCGGGAAGGCAGCAGGGCACGGGGUGGGGAGGCAGGAGGGCUGGAGCUGGUGAUGCGACCCAGGGCAGCUGCACAGGCAAGGGCAGCAAUAGCAGGGUCGGGGAGAGGCAGACAGAUGGAGGGACGGAGCGGCAGAGAAACAAAGAGAGACCGAGACAGUGGGCAGGCACACAGCAGGGCAGGGCCCGGCCAGGGUCUCAGGCACUGCCAUGUGCUCACCUGUGAAGGGCCCCGGAAUCUGCAGUUUCCGGGCUUAGAAGCAGGGAGAGAGGGAAGCAGUGAGGGGGGGCAGAUAGGCUGAAGUCCCCUUUUCCACACUGGCAAUCAUCCACUAAGGCAUGCACAACCCCAGUUCUACCGGCCCAGCCCCUAGAGAGCCUUGGCAGGGAUAUGUGUGCCACAUGUGUGUGCAGACACAGCGGGGCAUCGCCCGGCAGGGUGCAGAGGAGAUGGGGUGAGGCAGAGAGCUCACCUGCCAGGGGGUGGCAACCGUCCUGUACCAGUACGUGUGCGCGCACACACACACAAGAACACACACGCGCACGCACACAGGCUCAUUCUUCAUCUCACACACACCUAUGUUUCACAUGAACACGGGAACACGUGGGCUGUGCACACGCGUGCACAUAUAUUCACAGCAGAUAUGCACACUGCAUGUGUACACAUGGAAACCUGCACAUAAAUACAUGGCCCGUGUGCACACUCGCCCUGCUGCUGUGUAUGGGGUGAUCAUGGGGGGGUGAUGCAGCCAGCCCUCGGCAUGGGUCCUGGGAGGGAGAGGUCCCCACUUCUAAGGUUGGGGUUGAGCCUUGUGUAGCGCAAAUGAGCCCUGACACCCAUCCUCCACCCAGGAUGGGAAGCUCUGCUCUCAGUGGGGCUAGGACUGUGCUGCCAGGCAGGGGGCACAUGAUGGACAUAACAGCAUGGGGUAGAUGGAGACCAGAGGCUACUUACACUGGGAUCUCAUUGGCCAGUUCGCUUGGAAACAAAGAGACAGACACAGUGAGAAGGAAGGAGGGCAGUGGUGGGGCAGACACUGGCCCUGCCCCCCUCCUGGUACAGAGCCAGUGGGCUUGUGGGGUUCUGGUGUCCUGCUCUGCUCUGCUGGCAUGCACAGACAGGAACAGACAGACAGUGGUGGCGGGGGGGUGCCUGGCUCCUGGAGGCACAUUACCUCUCCCUCACAGCGUUGAGGUACUCGAUGUAGGUCUGCCCGUCAAAAGCCAGCGUCUCCAGGUCCCUCGCUGACUUUUCAACCAACCCUGAGAGACAGGCCAUCACACGGGCCCCAGGCAACCCGAGCCUCACCCAGCCCUAGCCAUGUGCUGCCAGAGCUCACCUUUCUCACAGUGCAGCCCUGAGAAGCCCGGAGGACACAGGCACUCGUAGGCGGCCUCCCGUGGGAGACACGAGGCUCCGUUGAGACAGGGGUGGCCCUGGGCUUGGGUGCAAGGGUGGUCAGCAAAGGGCGAGACGCCCACUGCCUGCAGGACAUGCUCCUGGGCCAGCAGCUGGCGGCCUCCCAGGGAGAUCUGCAGG